CUGGAGGAAAAAUUCUAGAAUGCAGUAGGUAUAUUAGUGACGUGGUGUAACAAAUCAAUCAAAAAUCUCCUUCUAGAAAUAUAUGUCACAUCAUGAUUAUAAAAAAGUAUUUUUAUUGUACUUUUGUUUGAAAAGAAGAAAGAUGAUUGGCUUGUUAUUGAUGACGUGGUGCAAGUGUGAUAGUGUAGAAUUUCUCCUACUGGAGAGCACAAAAAAGCGUAAAAUACAUUAUGGUUCUUACCUUGUGCUGGACAGGGUCUUGGACCAGUUCAACAACAUGGCAUAGAUAAUGUAGAGAUUUUUAAUUAGUUAAUGCACACAGUAUAAUAUAUUAUAUAUAAAUAUAAAUACGGUAAUAUAUUGACGAUUCAUAUGAAAUCCGUCAUUUGUAACCGAGAUUUAUAUAAAUAUAAGGUAGUACGGCAACAUAUUGCAUUGUUUUAUCGUUUGUUCUCUAUUUCAUUUUAUAUUUCAAAUUACAAUUUUUUACUUAGAAAUCAAAUUAUCUAAUUGAAAGUAUCAGAUGAAGGCUUUGUUUGGAUAUCAAAAUAAAUUAUUCGAUGAUAAUUUAUUCUGUAUGAAAAUUUUCUUUUGUAAUUAAUAAAUAGGGGUUCGAGUUUUGCUCUUUAAAAGAUUUUCGUCUGCUUUAUUUGAUAGAAUGCCAUAUUUCACUUAUAAAAUAAAUUGUAUUAUUUCAAAAAAUGAAUUGAAAUCCAAGUAUGCUAUUCUCUUAUUAACAUUUGACUAUACUGUUAGGUAUCGUUUGGUUCGGGGAUAAGCAAAAAGUGGUUAUUCUAGAGAUAGGUAUAAAUUGAGGUAUAAGCGGGGAUUAGAUCAAUUUUGCGUUUGGAUGAAAAUUAGGUUAUUCAUGAGAAUAAGAAAAAUAGCGUUUGGUUAGGUAAGAUGGAAUAAGAAGAAUAGUGGAUAGUUAUAAAUAAAAAAUAAUGAUAUUACCCUCUCAUUAUAUUUGAAUUUAAAUUUAAAAUUUAAAUAUUUUAAAUUUUAAAAUUUAAAUUUAAAUUUAUAAUUUUAAGUCUCAAAUUUAAAAAUUUAAAGUUACAAAUAUAAAAUAUCAAAUUUAAAAUUAUUAUUUACAGGGAAUAAAAAAUUUUGAAGUUUGAAUAUCUUUUGAAAAUGAAAAUGCUCCAUUUUAUCAAACUAUAUAAAUCGAUAACCUUUCCAGGUUUUUACCUCCUCAAUUCAAAAUUCCAACACCAGCAUGGCUUCAUCACCAUCCUCAUCCCUCUCCCCAUUCCUCCUCCAAACCCUCUCCACCAAGCCCUAACCCUCCCCCAUGGCUCCCACCACCACACCACCCACCUCUCCUCCGCCACCUCCUCCUCUCCUCCUCCUCCUCCUCCUCCUCCGCCAUGGGCGACCUCCGCCAACUCCACGCCCACGCCGUCGUCUCCGGGGCCAUGGGCGACCCCUCCGUCGCCUCGCGCCUCAUCUCCCUCGCCGCGGACGCCUCACUCCCCUACGCCCUCUCCAUCCUCGCACAAACCCCCUCCCCCGACCCCUUCGCCCUCAACGCCCUCCUCCGCGCCCACGCCCUUCGCCCCGACCCCUUCGGCGCCCUCCGCUUCUACGCCGACGCUCUCCGAUCCCCCGCCGCCGCCGAAUUCUCCUUCCCCAACCCGCGCACCUUCCCCAUUAUCCUAAAGGCGUGCUCUUUGGCCCCGGCGCUGCGAUUCGGCGAAAUGGUGCAUGCCCAGGUGGUCAAAGUGGGCUUGGGAUCUGCGGCUUCAGUACAAAACUUCUUGGUCUAUAUGUAUGCUUCUUGCGGUCGUAUAGAGUUGGCGAGGAUCGCCUUUGAUGCGAUUUCGGAGCUCAAUGCGGCCUCGAUGAACAUGAUGCUGGAUGCGUAUGUGAAGUGCGGGCAUUUGGGCGAUGCGCGGAAGGUGUUCGAUGAAAUGCCUGAGAGAGAUGUUUUGUGUUGGAGUGUGUUGAUUAAUGGGUAUGUUCAGGAUAGUCAUUUUAAAGAGGGUUUGGUUUUGUUUAGAGCGAUGUUGGGGGAGAAUAAAGAGCCCAAUGAAAGCAUAUUGGUGAACGUACUCUCCGCGUGCGCUCAUUUAGGGGCGAUCGAGCAGGGGAUGUGGGUCGAAGGGUAUGUUAAAAAGAAGAGCAUAAGGCUCAGUGUUCGCUUAGGUACUGCGCUUCUCGACAUGUAUUUAAAGUGUGGUUGUGUAGAAAAGGCUUUCGAAGUAUUUAGGACCAUGGAGGAGAGAAAUGUGACCACUUGGAGCGCGAUGAUCGGAGGGCUUGCGGUUAAUGGUCACGCUAAAGAUGCUUUGGGUUUAUUCUCGCAAAUGGAGUUCGAUGGAAUAAUACCAAAUGAAGUAACAUUUGUUGGUGUCUUGAAUUCUUGUAGCCAUUCCGGGCUAGUCGAAGAAGGAGAAAAGUACUUCAAUUCUAUGACAUCAUUGUAUGGAAUCAAACCAAAUAUUCACCAUUAUUGUUGUUUAGUUGAUCUUUACGGUCGAGCUGGGUUAUUAGAUAAAGCAGAGAAAGUGAUUAAGAAGACGCCGAUGAAGGCCAAUAGCGCGGUUUGGGGAGCUCUACUCAAUUCAUGCAAGAUUCACGGGAAUGCCGUGUUAGGCGAACGAGUAGGAAAGAAGCUUCUUGAACUGGAUCCGACAAACAGUGGGAGGUAUGUGCUGCUAUCAAAUAUAUAUGCAGUAAAUGGAAGAUGGGAAGAUGUAGCAGAGUUAAGGAGAUUGAUGAAGGAAAGAGGGGUAAAUAAAACACCAGGGAGUAGCUUUAUAGACCUAAGAGGUAGUGUUCACGAGUUCAUUGCGGGAGAUAAAAUUCACCCUCGUAGAAGAGAGAUAUACGCAAUGGUGGAUGAAAUGGGGAGAAAGCUACGAGCGGCGGGGUACCGACCCAACACCGACCAAGUGUUGAUUGAUAUGCAUGAGGAAGAGAAGGGCACCUCACUUCUCCACCACAGCGAGAAAUUGGCUCUUGCCUUUGGGUUGAUAUGUAGCGAUCUGGGUUCUGUAAUCAGGAUUACAAAGAACCUUCGUGUUUGUGACGAUUGCCACGAGGCGAUGAAGUUGGUAUCGAGGGUAUGCAAGCGAGAAAUUGUUGUGAGGGACCGAUGCCGGUUCCACCAUUUUAGGGAUGGUGCUUGUUCUUGCAAAGAUUAUUGGUGAUUUUAGGUGGAGUUGCAUCAUGACGAGAGGAAUUGAUCUUUCGAGAGCUUGGAUCAUUUGGUGUUCUAAUUGUGUAUGAACUGAUUAUCCAAUGACUAGAAAGAUUGCUCACCAACAUAGAACGCAAAUAACCAUGAUUACCGAGGUAAUGAGUAUGAGAAAGAGUUGUUAAGUUGCUUCCUGAUUCCUAAAUUGUUUUUCGUUUAAUUGAGCUCUGAUAAUUGACAAAUAUCUGUAAUUCAUCUGUUUGGCAGAUUACCAAGCCAAUAUAUUGGGGAACUCUGAGCUGAUAAAGAGAAGCUAUUUAGAAAUGGGUGCUGAGAAUCACCACAACCUAAGGUUUGUCUAAAUGAACAGGUUAUUGUGAGUAAAAUUUCCUUUUUUUUUGUUGUUGUUAUUGUUGUGAUAUUUCUGAAUAUUUAGUUUGCUUGCUUUGCAAUUACUUUAAGUGAACCAAAGGCUACUAUAAUAUAUUUACCUACAUAAUAACUGCAUAGUCCAAACAAUCUUCCUUGCCUCCUAAAAUUCUUAAGAUUGAAGUGUAGAGGAUGGUAUAUUUCCAAGAAAUAUAUCACAUUUCAGGCUCUCACUUCUGGUAUUAAUCUUACACUAUCUGUCACUAUAAGAUAGUUCCCAGGCACUUCAAGAUCAGUAGUUCUCUCUAUUUACUAAAUGGAUAGAUAUUCAGUUAAACAGAUAGAACUUGGAAGAAAUAUCGACAAAUGAAGAACAGAACAAAGAUAAGAUGCUUUGGGUUCAACCCAAAAACUUGUUACUGG
This 3934-nucleotide long non-coding RNA is filed under the name Ananas comosus (pineapple). Its description in RNAcentral is "long non-coding RNA (ACOM_LNC012629)". Lineage: Eukaryota; Viridiplantae; Streptophyta; Magnoliopsida; Poales; Bromeliaceae. The record is from RNAcentral.